CUGGAUGGCUAGCAAGUCUCGGGGUCUUCCUGUCUCCAUCUGUGCUAUACACCAACACUUUGAUUUUGUGGAUGCUGGGGUUCCAAAUUUGAUCUGUCAUGCUUGCACAAAAAACACUUUGGCCAAUGGCCCUAACCCUGAGUGUCUCAAUCCCCUAAAUCUCUUUUAGCUUAUAGAUGUUAAUUCUUUGGCUUUAGUUGUCCUCAUUGUUUUCCAGACUUCCUGGGUAAGAUGUUGCCGUCCUGAGGAAGAUGGCCAAAUUCAAAAUAAGCAGAUCCACCAGACUUACGGGGAAUACAGGUGAGAGUACAGGAGUGGAGAUGACUCAAGGACAUUUACAUCACCAAAGGCCACUUCAUGAAUGACAGCUCAUGAAAGCUGGAACACAAUUCACAACUUGAAGGCAGCUCAACAGGGCCAGAUGAGGGAGCACCACCUGUAAUCAGCCCUGGAAUAAGAUGGAAACUGGAGGCAGGAGAAUCUGCCUGAAAACUAUGGGCCAGCCUCCUGCAGUAUUCUAUACAGCAGUGGAAACAGGAAGAGAGACUCAAAAGAGCAGGGAAGAUGGCAACCGGCUUCUGAAAGCUCUCUGACCUUCAUGUGCUUACACACAAGGUAAAUAAGUUUAAAAACAAACACUUAAAAUUUAAAUUUAAAACAAAAAUUUAGAAAUUGAAAAUCAAAAAGCAGUUGUAUUUUAUGUAAUAAACAUGCCAUUUUCAU
Non-coding RNA from Cricetulus griseus (Chinese hamster), 723 nucleotides. The record is from RefSeq and is a predicted model, not a curated record. NCBI's taxonomy places the organism in Eukaryota, Metazoa, Chordata, Mammalia, Rodentia, Cricetidae.